AAAAAAAAGAGGAUAAAUGUUCAAGUGUUGUUCUUCUUGAGACCUUUCCCCUGAGUUCUUCUUCUUCUUGAAUCUUGAGAGAGACCCAUGGAGAGGUCCGCCACCGCCAGCCCAUCCAUUGUGACGAACGAGAUCCGCUGUUUGCCGACCACAAUCUAACCAUCUCGUUCUCAUUCGCGCAUCCCAUAUUCUCUCUCUUCCGCCGUCAGAUUCCGAUGACGACAGAGUUGCGGCCUCAUAGAGGACCUUGCGCUGGUGGUGGAGUUGGCAAAAUAGAGCUCCUCGACAAGGACAGAAGAGAGAGACUGGCGAGGCUUGUUGAAGGUUGAGAAGGUAUCGGCGACGAAGUGGUCGAUGUUGGUGAUUUGGACGACGCUGAGUCGGAAAGAUAAAGUGGUUGUUUGGCCUCUGUUGUUCGCUUGGGAUUAGGAUUUGUCUCGGCUGGGGUUGGUGGUUCACUGAUGGUGGAGGAUGCGGCGCCGCUGAGCACGCCAUCACCAAACCAUUGCUCUUGACCCGUGGGUUUGUUUGGAUUUGAAUCACCUUCCAAUUUCGAACAAACCUUGUUCUGUGUCAAAGUUUUCACCAGUCAUUGGGUGGGUUUUUGUGGCCAUAUUGGUUCUGUUCAUUUUGCUUUUACAGGUUUGGCAGUCUUAAAAUGCAGUAUUUUUCCUUCUUUUUCUGGUUUGUGGGAUUCUGUUGAAUUAUUGUCUUGUUGCUUGGGAUGAAUGUGUGUUGGGUUUAUACUGUCUUUGGUUAGUUGUGUUUUUCUGUUCUACUCUAGUUGACAAUUAAGUUCCAUUUAGCUAAAACUUACAUCUUUUAGUUCAAAUCUUGUUCUUAUGCUUAGGAUAGGAAGCAUAUGUUGGUACAAAAAUCAUAGUUAUCAUUUAGCUCCAUUUCUGUGAAGUAGCAUGUAUGUAGGAGUAACCCAUCACUCAUUGCUCUAUUUAAUCUGUGCAUAACUUGUUUAAAUCAUUCCAUUGGAUGGAUGUACCCUAAGUAUAGAAUAAAAUGAAGUUGUGUGGAUUUUUCUCAUGAUUGGCAAGUGUUGUGCCAAGAGAGAUAAUUCUUAGUUUAAUUCAGUGCUUAUGUUUAGCUUGACUUGUAGAAUUGAACUAAAUAGUUUAUUUUGCUCUCUGAAUCCUCUUUGGGCCCAGGUUGUGUUAGUGGUUUAAUUCAUAAUGUUGGUUUCUAGUCAAGAUUUCUCAAAGUCUUGGUUCUUCUAUCUUCUUUUGGCUGCUUUGGCUGAAAAUGAAGCCUGGAAUUGCACACUCUCACUAAUAUGUUGCAGGAGGCUUUUUUUCAAGGUUUUGUUUCAAAUGGCAUCACUUGGAUUAAAUUUGCAUGCACAUCAUAUGAACAGGAUUUGGCUUAUACAUGUGAGAUAUGGUCUCAUGCUUGAUGCACACAAGCUGUUCGAUGAUAUUUAUGAGAGAUGUGGUUUCAUGCACACAAGUUGUUUGAUGAUAUUCUUGAGAGAUGUGGUUUCCUGGAUGACUGUGAUGGGUAGACUUGUGGGACUCUGGGAAUUGAACUGUGAUGGGUAGACUUGUGGGACUCUGGGAAUUGCUUUGAAGCUUUUGGGAUGUUUUCGUGUGUGGGAAGAGUUUAAUGAUGGUAGACAAAUUCGGGUGGGAGUAAAAAUUCAUUCGUGUGCUUUGAAGAAAGUAGUGGGUGGAUAGUUUUGUUGCUUCUGCACUGAUUAAACAAUUGUGGCAGUUAGUUAUGUGGCACAGAAUUGUAAAACUAUCUCUGCGCAAUUAGUGGCGGUUAAAGGCCGCUAGAAACUGACCUCUAACCGCGAAUCAUAUUUUUGCCAGAAUAAUUUCAAAUAAUUUGUUUUUCCUACAAAAGGCAAAUAAAUAAUUUAGUUAAGUUUAUUCACGUAUAUUA
This is a long non-coding RNA of Lotus japonicus, 1896 nucleotides long. RefSeq lists it as uncharacterized. The record is from RefSeq and is a predicted model, not a curated record. NCBI's taxonomy places the organism in Eukaryota, Viridiplantae, Streptophyta, Magnoliopsida, Fabales, Fabaceae. The transcript has 2 exons.